This 76-nucleotide transfer RNA is filed under the name Clostridiales bacterium. Its description in RNAcentral is "tRNA-Thr". It matches the Rfam family "tRNA". Rfam says of the family: Transfer RNA (tRNA) molecules are approximately 80 nucleotides in length. Their secondary structure includes four short double-helical elements and three loops (D, anti-codon, and T loops). Lineage: Bacteria; Bacillati; Bacillota; Clostridia; Eubacteriales. The record is from RNAcentral.
GCUGCUAUAGCUCAGCAGGUAGAGCGCGUCCUUGGUAAGGACGAGGUCUCCGGUUCAAUCCCGGAUAGCAGCUCCA